Molecule: unclassified non-coding RNA, 383 nt
Filed under: fungal sp.
Lineage: Eukaryota; Fungi
Description: partial internal transcribed spacer region
Rfam family: Eukaryotic small subunit ribosomal RNA (bases 1-46)
Source: RNAcentral
AAGUCGUAACAAGGUUUCCGUAGGUGAACCUGCGGAAGGAUCAUUGGAGAAAGUGAGGGAGGAAGAAGAAGGAGAGGAAGGGAAGGACUUUUUAACAAUUUAAUUAGUUUAUAUAGUUGUUGUUAUUAUAUUCUCUCCUCCUCUUCUCUUCAGCCCAAAAAACCACGUGUGAACACACAAACUUUGAGGGGAGAUGAAUGAGAGGAACUCAUUACUCUCUGAGAAGUUUAACAAAAUCCAUAUCUAUUUAUAGAGUAUAUAAAGUAGCACGACGAGGGAGGAGUUACCGAGUUUGGUAACACGAUCUCAGUGUGUGAAAAAGAAUCAUACAUAAUUAAAAAAAAAAAAAUACAACUUUUAACAAUGGAUCUCUUGGCUCUCGG